AUAUCAAUAAGCGGAGGAAAAGAAACCAACUGGGAUUGCCUUAGUAACGGCGAGUGAAGCGGCAACAGCUCAAAUUUGAAAUCUGGCCCUUCCGGGGUCCGAGUUGUAAUUUGUAGAGGAUGCUUCGGGCAACGCUGCGGUACAAGUCUCUUGGAACAGGGCGUCAUAGAGGGUGAGAAUCCCGUCCUCAACCGUGAGUCGCGUCCAUGUGAAGCUCCUUCGACGAGUCGGGUUGUUUGGGAAUGCAGCUCAAAAUGGGUGGUAAAUUUCAUCUAAAGCUAAAUAUUGGCCAGAGACCGAUAGCGCACAAGUAGAGUGAUCGAAAGAUGAAAAGCACUUUGAAAAGAGAGUUAAACAGCAUGUGAAAUUGUUGAAAGGGAAGCGCUUGCAGCCAGACUUGUGGGCGGUGAUUCAGCCGUUCUUCUGAUCGGUGCACUUUGCCGUCUCCAGGCCAGCAUCGGUUUGGGCAGCUAGUUAAAGGCCUCGGGAAUGUAUCGACCCUCCGGGGUUGACUUAUAGCCCGGGGUGCCAUGUGGCUCGCCUAGACCGAGGUACGCGCUCUGCACGGAUGCUGGCGUAAUGGCUGUAAGCGACCCGUCUUGAAACACGGACCAAGGAGUCUAACAUCUAUGCGAGUGUUCGGGUGUCAAACCCUUGCGCGUAAUGAAAGUGAACGGAGGUAGGAACCCCUUGGGGCGCACUAUCGACCGAUCCUGAUGUUCUCGGAUGGAUUUGAGUAAGAGCAUAGCUGUUGGGACCCGAAAGAUGGUGAACUAUGCGUGUAUAGGGUGAAGCCAGAGGAAACUCUGGUGGAGGCUCGCAGCGGUUCUGACGUGCAAAUCGAUCGUCAAAUACGCGUAUAGGGGCGAAAGACUAAUCGAACCAUCUGGUAGCUGGUUCCUGC
This 904-nucleotide ribosomal RNA is filed under the name Pyrenula aspistea. RNAcentral describes it as "LSU rRNA". It matches the Rfam family "Eukaryotic large subunit ribosomal RNA", at positions 40 to 961 of the family's 3401-position model. The record is from RNAcentral. Lineage: Eukaryota; Fungi; Ascomycota; Eurotiomycetes; Pyrenulales; Pyrenulaceae.